This 466-nucleotide ribosomal RNA is filed under the name uncultured bacterium. RNAcentral's name for it is "partial 16S ribosomal RNA". It matches the Rfam family "Bacterial small subunit ribosomal RNA", at positions 28 to 507 of the family's 1533-position model. The record is from RNAcentral.
GAUGAACGCUGGCGGCGUGCUUAACACAUGCAAGUCGAACGAUGAAGCCCAGCUUGCUGGGUGGAUUAGUGGCGAACGGGUGAGUAACACGUGAGCAACCUGCCCCUGACUCUGGGAUAAGCGCUGGAAACGGCGUCUAAUACUGGAUAUGUCCCGUCACCGCAUGGUGUGCGGGUGGAAAGAUUUUUCGGUUGGGGAUGGGCUCGCGGCCUAUCAGCUUGUUGGUGAGGUAAUGGCUCACCAAGGCGUCGACGGGUAGCCGGCCUGAGAGGGUGACCGGCCACACUGGGACUGAGACACGGCCCAGACUCCUACGGGAGGCAGCAGUGGGGAAUAUUGCACAAUGGCGGAAGCCUGAUGCAGCAACGCCGCGUGAGGGAUGACGGCCUUCGGGUUGUAAACCUCUUUUAGCAGGGAAGAAGCGAAAGUGACGGUACCUGCAGAAAAAGCACCGGCUAACUACGUG